Bolinopsis microptera is the source of this 74-nucleotide non-coding RNA. Lineage: Eukaryota; Metazoa; Ctenophora; Tentaculata; Lobata; Bolinopsidae. The record is from the annotation of a RefSeq genome assembly.
GCUUCUAUGGCGCAAUCGGUUAGCGCGUUCGACUGUUAAUCGAAAGGUUGCUGGUUCAAGUCCAGCUAGGAGCG